This 253-nucleotide ribosomal RNA is filed under the name uncultured bacterium. Its description in RNAcentral is "partial 16S ribosomal RNA". It matches the Rfam family "Bacterial small subunit ribosomal RNA", at positions 524 to 776 of the family's 1533-position model. The record is from RNAcentral.
UACGGAGGAUCCAAGCGUUAUCCGGAAUCAUUGGGUUUAAAGGGUUCGUAGGCGGUUGUAUAAGUCAGUGGUGAAAUCCCUUCGCUUAACGAAGGAACUGCCAUUGAUACUGUAUGACUUGAAUUAUUAAGAAGUAACUAGAAUAUGUAGUGUAGCGGUGAAAUGCUUAGAGAUUACAUGGAAUACCAAUUGCGAAGGCAGGUUACUAUUAAUAUAUUGACGCUGAUGGACGAAAGCGUGGGUAGCGAACAGG